AUUUGGACUAUACUUGGCACAGUUGUUGUAAAUAGUAAGUGAACACUACAUGCAAAAUUCCAGCCAAAUCAUACAAAAAUUGCAGCUUCCAUGGGCUCAAGAACGCGUAAGGCUAGCCGCUUGAAGUUAUGCCAUAUCGGUUCAGAUUUGGAUAUAGCUGCCAUAUAAACCCAUCUCCCUAUUUUGCUUCUUGAGCCCCUACAAGGCACAAUUCUUAUACGAAUGGACUGAAAUAUUACACAAUGACUUCUACAAUAGUCUUCAAUUCAUUUAUGAUUCGAAUCGGACUAUAACUUGAUAUAGCUCCAAUAGCAUAACAGUUCUUAUCCAUUAUUCUUUAGUUACCUUAAAAGAGAUAUCGAUAUAUAUAAGAUUCGGCCCGGCCAUAUUUAGCACGCUCUUACUUGUCUAGAUUGUUAAAUGCUUGAAAUAAAAUUUUUAAUUGGCCUAUAAAAUAGUUCUCUACAAUUUGUUGUGCCCUCUUUAUCGUUAAUUACUUAAAAUUGUCGUGCAGAAUAUAGUAAAAAUUGUUGCCACAAGUAUUAUUUUUCGACAACAAUAUUUUUGCUAUAAAAGCCAUUCGAAGCACCUUGAAAAUCAUACAGUUUUCUUUGGAUAUCCAAGCAAAAAACUAACACUUUAUAAAAGUCCAAAAUGAAAUUCUACGCCACCAUUGCUGUAGCUAUCAUGAGUGUCUUGGCAUUUGCUUCUGCCAAUCCUGAACCGAUUUUGCAGACAAUAAGUGGAUUAACUGAUAAUCUUGGCAAGUAAAAGUUUGCCAACAUUUUAGUCUCCAAUUUGAUACUGAUGAACGAGGAAGUGGAAAAUGGCAAAGGAAUAAGCAAAAUAUUAUUGGGAAAUCGAAUUGGGAUUCACUUCAUUGCAAUGAAAGCCAAUAAAAAUACUAGCACCGCAGAAUAUUAAAAUA
Long non-coding RNA from Stomoxys calcitrans (stable fly), 928 nucleotides. RefSeq lists it as uncharacterized. Lineage: Eukaryota; Metazoa; Arthropoda; Insecta; Diptera; Muscidae. The record is from RefSeq and is a predicted model, not a curated record. The transcript has 2 exons.